GCAGCCAAGUCGUGAGGCGGAGCUAAUCCCUUAAAGCCAUUCUCAGUUCGGAUUGUAGGCUGAAACUCGCCUACAUGAAGCUGGAGUUACUAGUAAUCGCGGAUCAGCACGCCGCGGUGAAUACGUUCCCGGGCCUUGUACACACCGCCCGUCACACCAUGAGAGUCUGUAACACCCAAAGCCGGUGGGAUAACCUUUAUAGGAGUCAGCCGUCUAAGGUAGGACAGAUGAUUAGGGUGAAGUCGUAACAAGGUAGC
RNAcentral lists this ribosomal RNA (257 nucleotides) under uncultured bacterium. RNAcentral describes it as "partial 16S ribosomal RNA". It matches the Rfam family "Bacterial small subunit ribosomal RNA", at positions 1246 to 1500 of the family's 1533-position model. The record is from RNAcentral.